Molecule: ribosomal RNA, 253 nt
Filed under: uncultured bacterium
Lineage: Bacteria
Description: partial 16S ribosomal RNA
Rfam family: Bacterial small subunit ribosomal RNA
Source: RNAcentral
UACGUAGGGGGCAAGCGUUAUCCGGAUUUACUGGGUGUAAAGGGAGCGUAGACGGCAAGGCAAGUCUGGAGUGACAGCCCGUGGCCCAACCACGGGACUGCUCUGGAAACUGUGUUGCUGGAGUGCAGGAGGGGUAAGCGGAAUUCCUAGUGUAGCGGUGAAAUGCUUAGAUAUCAGGAGGAACAUCGGUGGCGUAAGCGCUUUACUGGGCCGUAAUUGACGCUGAGGAACGAAAGCCAGGGUAGCAAAUGGG